UACGUAGGGGGCAAGCGUUGUCCGGAAUUAUUGGGCGUAAAGCGCGCGCAGGCGGUCCUUUAAGUCUGAUGUGAAAGCCCACGGCUCAACCGUGGAGGGUCAUUGGAAACUGGGGGACUUGAGUACAGAAGAGAAGAGUGGAAUUCCACGUGUAGCGGUGAAAUGCGUAGAGAUGUGGAGGAACACCAGUGGCGAAGGCGACUCUUUGGUCUGCAACUGACGCUGAGGCGCGAAAGCGUGGGGAGCAAACAGG
Molecule: ribosomal RNA, 253 nt
Filed under: uncultured bacterium
Lineage: Bacteria
Description: partial 16S ribosomal RNA
Rfam family: Bacterial small subunit ribosomal RNA
Source: RNAcentral